AACGAACGCUGGCGGCAUGCCUAACACAUGCAAGUCGAACGAAGCCUUCGGGCUUAGUGGCGCACGGGUGCGUAACGCGUGGGAAUCUGCCCUUUGGUUCGGAAUAACAGUUGGAAACGACUGCUAAUACCGGAUGAUGACGAAAGUCCAAAGAUUUUUCGCCAGAGGAUGAGCCCGCGUAGGAUUAGCUAGUUGGUGUGGUAAAGGCGCACCAAGGCGACGAUCCUUAGCUGGUCUGAGAGGAUGAUCAGCCACACUGGGACUGCAGACACGGCCCAGACUCCUACGGGAGGCAGCAGUGGGGAAUAUUGGACAAUGGGCGAAAGCCUGAUCCAGCAAUGCCGCGUGAGUGAUGAAGGCCCUAGGGUUGUAAAGCUCUUUUACCCGGGAUGAUAAUGACAGUACCGGGAGAAUAAGCCCCGGCUAACUCCGUGCCAGCCGCCGCCGUAA
This 450-nucleotide ribosomal RNA is filed under the name uncultured bacterium. RNAcentral's name for it is "partial 16S ribosomal RNA". It matches the Rfam family "Bacterial small subunit ribosomal RNA", at positions 29 to 523 of the family's 1533-position model. The record is from RNAcentral.